This 253-nucleotide ribosomal RNA is filed under the name uncultured bacterium. RNAcentral describes it as "partial 16S ribosomal RNA". It matches the Rfam family "Bacterial small subunit ribosomal RNA", at positions 524 to 776 of the family's 1533-position model. The record is from RNAcentral.
UACGAAGGGGGCUAGCGUUGUUCGGAAUCACUGGGCGUAAAGGGCGCGUAGGCGGCCUGGUAAGUAGGGGGUGAAAUCCUGCGGCUUAACCGCAGGGCUGCCUUCUAAACUGUCAGGCUUGAGCACGGUAGAGGCAGAUGGAAUUCCCGGUGUAGCGGUGGAAUGCGUAGAGAUCGGGAAGAACAUCAGUGGCGAAGGCGGUCUGCUGGGCCGUUGCUGACGCUGAGGCGCGACAGCGUGGGGAGCAAACAGG